This 199-nucleotide ribosomal RNA is filed under the name uncultured bacterium. RNAcentral's name for it is "partial 16S ribosomal RNA". It matches the Rfam family "Bacterial small subunit ribosomal RNA", at positions 328 to 539 of the family's 1533-position model. The record is from RNAcentral.
ACGCUCGACACCUACGGGAGACAGCAGUGGGGAAUAUUGCACAAUGGGGGAAACCCUGAUGCAGUGACGCCGCGUGAGCGAAGAAGUAUUUCGGUAUGUAAAGCUCUAUCAGCAGGGAAGAAACUGACGGUACCUGACUAAGAAGCACCGGCUAAAUACGUGCCGGCAGCCGCGGUAAUCUGAGGCGGGCUGGCAAGGC